RNAcentral lists this ribosomal RNA (253 nucleotides) under uncultured bacterium. Its description in RNAcentral is "partial 16S ribosomal RNA". It matches the Rfam family "Bacterial small subunit ribosomal RNA", at positions 524 to 776 of the family's 1533-position model. The record is from RNAcentral.
GACAUAGGUGGCGAGCGUUGUCCGGAGUUACUGGGCGUAAAGCGCACGCAGGCGGUCUGCUAAGUUUGGAGUGACAGUCGGUGGCUUAACUGCCAAAGUGCUUCGAAAACUGACAGACUUGAGGGCUUCAGAGGGACACGGAAUUCCGGGUGGAGUGGUGAAAUGCGUAGAGAUCCGGAGGAACACCAAAGGCGAAGGCAGUGUCCUGGGGGGUACCUGACGCUCAGGUGCGAAAGCCAGGGGAGCGAACGGG